CCAUCAUCACGGAGGUUCAACAUAAAUCCAGGGAAACAGAGUACACAAGAAAAGUAGAGAGUUAAGGCAACUUUCUAACGUAGAGCUAAGGUUCUAUGGAGGAAGUUGAAUGCCAUUAGAUGCAUUCACGAAUUGACUUCGCAGAAACAAGGAGAACGAAUU
Long non-coding RNA from Cucurbita maxima (winter squash), 162 nucleotides. RefSeq lists it as uncharacterized. NCBI's taxonomy places the organism in Eukaryota, Viridiplantae, Streptophyta, Magnoliopsida, Cucurbitales, Cucurbitaceae. The record is from RefSeq and is a predicted model, not a curated record. The transcript has 4 exons.